GACGAACCGUGCGAACGUUGUUCGGAAUCACUGGGCUUAAAGGGCGCGUAGGCGGAUGACCAAGUCCAAGGUGAAAUCCUGCGGCUUAACCGUAGAAGAGCCCUGGAUACUGGUUGUCUCGAGGGAGGUAGGGGCAUGUGGAAUUUCCGGUGUAGCGGUGAAAUGCGUAGAUAUCGGAAGGAACAUCAGUGGCGAAAGCGACUUCCUGGACCAAUACUGACGCUCAUGUGCGAAAGCGUGGGGAGCAAACAGG
Molecule: ribosomal RNA, 253 nt
Filed under: uncultured prokaryote
Description: partial 16S ribosomal RNA
Rfam family: Bacterial small subunit ribosomal RNA
Source: RNAcentral